RNAcentral lists this long non-coding RNA (979 nucleotides) under Vigna radiata. Its description in RNAcentral is "long non-coding RNA (VRAD_LNC007074)". The record is from RNAcentral. Lineage: Eukaryota; Viridiplantae; Streptophyta; Magnoliopsida; Fabales; Fabaceae.
UUGAAUUUUAAAAAAUGAGUUGAGUCAGUUUCAUCUUCUUCUUCCUCCAAAAAUGUUAUAGAACCACAACAAAUUAGUGGUAGUUUUCUCCUAUUCUUAACGACGAAACGGAGGCAACACCAGCAGAGAGGAACAGAAAGAGACAUUGGUCCUUGCGAAGUUUUUCGCAACUUCUUCUUCCCCGACUAUAUGGGACACGUCGUUGACUCCACCGACUCCUUAUACUUCCAUUCUGAUUCACUGCCCCAAAGACAGUGCAGUAAGCUUCUUUUUCAGUUUAGCUUGUUCAUUUUCUCUUUCAACAUUGUAAGUAAUUGUUUGUAUAACAUCAGUGGAAUAAUAAAAUAUUUUUUUGAGUUAAAAGUAAUUUUAGAAACCGUGCUGUAUUGGUUUCUUAAAAAUUGCGUAUUUCUUUUAUCAAUUUAUUUUGGAAAUUAUAUUUAGGUUCUAUUUUUCCGUGUAAUUUGUUCGGAACCCAAGUUAUGAACCUUGGGGAAUUUUAAUAUUCGGAGAAUGGUUCUUCCUAACUUAAUGUGGUGCCUGAUUUCUAGUAGUUGGUGUUCUUGUGAGAAGUUUCCUGUAGAUUUUGGGAACGUUUUAGAUUUUCUCAAAGUUUUUUGUAGGUUUCGAAAGAGGAGGUUGGUGGGGAAGCUCACGUUUUGGUUACCAUGGAGAAUAUUGCGAUUGGAUUUUAUGGUGAAGGAGAUGUGCGAUUUGCUCGUAGAUUUAGGAAUACAGGUUUCGGUGUGGUUGAAUUGCAAGGAAGGAGAUAAACAUUGGCCAUGGUAGCUGGCCAUGAUUGAUCGCGGUUGUUGAUGGAGUUCAUGGUGGCUAUCGUGAUUUUGAAAGCAACCUCAAAGAAGCCAUUCGUAUCUCCUUAGAAACCCUAACCCCUCUUUUUUAACCUCUGUAAACAAAAAAUGUCACUUAAUAUAUUUUUUGGUUUCAAUUUUAACCCCACUGCCACAAAACUGUCACA